Molecule: RNA transcript, 1934 nt
Organism: Trachemys scripta elegans
Lineage: Eukaryota; Metazoa; Chordata; Testudines; Emydidae
Gene: SEC22A
Gene name: SEC22 homolog A, vesicle trafficking protein
Exons: 9
Source: RefSeq, a predicted model, not a curated record
GACGUGGUCCUGCUGCCGAUGCCGCGGCUCCGGCUUUCACUAAAUCUGUUGGCAAUGUCUAUGAUCUUAUCUGCCUCAGUGGUCCGUGUUAGAGAUGGGCUCCCGCUAUCUGCCUCUACAGAUUAUGAGCAAAGCAUGGGAGUGCAGCAAUGUAGAAAAUAUUUUAAAACACUCUCGAAGAAGCUUGCUCAGCUUCCUGAUAGAUGUAUGCUGAAAGCUGGCCAGUAUAAUAUAAAUUUUAUUAGCUCUCUGGGAGUGAGCUACAUGAUGCUGUGCACUGAAAAUUACCCCAGUGUUCUGGCUUUCUGCUUCCUGGAUGAGCUUCAGAAAGAGUUCAUCACCACGUACAAUAUGAUGAGGACAAAUACUGCCAUCCGGCCAUACUGUUUCAUAGAGUUUGAUAAUUUUAUUCAAAGGACCAAGCAGAGAUAUAAUAACCCACGGUCUCUGUCGACCAAGAUAAAUCUUGCUGACAUGCAGACAGAAAUCAAGCUGAGACCACCUUAUCAAAUUUCCAUGUCGGAACUUGGUUCAACUAAUGGAUUUGCACACUUAUCUGCUGCAGAAUUUAAGGGUACUGGUAAGAUAUCUACUGCUCCUCAUCAACGACUGGAAGCUGUUACUCUGCCAGGGAUUGUUUCAUUUAUACUGAGCCUGUUAUGUGGGGCUUUGAAUUUAAUUAGAGGAUUUCAUGCCAUAGAAAGUCUUCUGCAGAACGAGGGUGAAGAUUUCAGUUAUGUCAUUGCGUUUUUCCUUGGAACAGCAGCCUGCUUGUAUCAGUGUUAUUUAUUUUUAUACUGCACAGGCUGGCGGAAUGUCAAAUCCUUCCUGACUUUUGGUUUAAUCUGCCUAUGUAACAUGUAUCUGUACGAACUGCGCAAUCUCUGGCAGCUCUUCUUCCACGUGACAGUGGGAGCGUUUGCAGCAUUACAGAUACGGCUAAGACAACCACAAGGGAAGUCCCCUGAUUACAAUGUCUGACCCAAGGCAGUCUCAGUCCACCCAUGGUUCCCUCUCAGGAAUGAAAAGCUUUUCUCCAAAAGAAGUUGUUUUUUAUUUGUUUUUUUUUUAAAGAUCAACACAAGAUGCCUGUGGACGUUUGUGACUUGAGAACUUAGAUUUAUCCUCAUUGAAGACUGAAGACACACACAAUACAGGAUUAGUAGAGGAAAAUGGGUCCUAUCCAUGCAGAGCAUUGUCCCUUGAGGACAAAUAAAAAUUUGGAGGACUUGACAGAUAGCAGGAAAAAGCCUUCUUCAAAAGUAUGAUAAUGGAAAAAGAUAUAUAUACAGGGCCUGUUCUGCAUAUCAAGUGAGCACUCCAAUUCCAAAAUCAGUUUUGCCUUUGUGAGGCAGUAGUAUAGGCUGAAUACAAAGAUGCUAUUGCAUAUUAGCAGACUAUUGGAAUGAGUGCGUUACUAAAUGUGAAACUAUUGGAUUGCACAUUAAAUUUAAUGGGAUGCGUGUAUGUGUUUUCUUAAUUAAAGCCUAACCUGGAAACCAUCUGUUUAUGGGGAUUAGCUCCUUGGUCCCAGUGGCCUUCCAUGUAGUGCUGAGUUAACUAUAAAUCUUGGUAAAUAUUUUUUUCUGUAUAAUUUGUUUUUAAUGAUCUUUUGAAAGUGACCUUUAUGGACAAGUUUUAUUUAAGUAAAUAACCUAAAAUUCUGUCUCUUGGCCCUCUUUGCUCUCCUCCUCUAUUUGAACACUAGAAGUUUGAAAAGAAGUGCGAGGAAGUGACCUUACUCAAGGGGAUCCAGGUGCCCAAGACCAAGAUAAUUUACCGAAAAUGGAAUCAGUCCUAAAUGAACAGCAGUGGGUUUUCUGAAUUUUUCACUUAAAAAUGCAUCUGACUCGGCCUGCAACCUCAUCAACUGUUGUUUGAUUGUUUACUCUUAAUCUGAAAACUGCCAAGUCUGUAUUCAGAGAAUAAUGCAC